GUGCCUNGCACNUCGAAUUNUAGUCUGGAGAANGUCCNNNNGCGACGCGCCGGACCCAAGUUCCCUGGAAAGGGACGUCAUCGAGGGUGACAACCCCGUCCGCGCCCGGAACGCGUCGCUCCACGAGGACCUGUCUGCGAGUCGGGCUGUUUGGGAAUGCAGCCCUAAUCGGGAGGUAAAUUCCUUCCAAGGCUAAAUAUGGGCAAGAGACCGAUAGCGAACAAGUACCGCGAGGGAAAGAUGAAAAGGACUUUGAAAAGAGAGUUAAAAAGUGCUUGAAAUUGCUGGGAGGGAAGCGAAUGGAAGCUGCGGGUGCGGCCCGGUUGGAUGUGGAACGGCUUCGGCUGGUCCGCCGCUCAACGCGGGGCGCUGGUCAGCGUGGGCCAUGGCGCCGGGACAAGAGCAGGGAUUCGCUUCCUGCCUAUGCCGGUGCGGUGGCCGAGGAACGAAGCGCGCGCCUUCUGGCGUGGGUUCGCCCAACUGCGCGCUCGGGACGCUGGCGUAUUGAGCUCUUCAUCCGACCCGUCUUGAAACACGGACCAAGGAGUCUAACAUGUAUGCGAGCCGGUGGGCGGCAAACCCAUUGAGGCGCAAGUAAACUGACAGGUGGGACCCCGACCGUGAGGGAGGGAGCACCAUCGACCGACCGUGAUCUUCUGUGAAAGGUUUGAGUGUGAGCAUACCUGUUGGGACCCGAAAGAUGGUGAACUAUGCCUGAGCAGGGCGAAGCCAGAGGAAACUCUGGUGGAGGCUCGUAGCGAUACUGACGUGCAAAUCGUUCGUCAGACUUGGGUAUAGGGGCGAAAGACUAAUCGAACCAUCUAGUAGCUGGUUCCCUCCGAAGUUUCCCUCAGGA
This 856-nucleotide ribosomal RNA is filed under the name Roaldia revoluta. Its description in RNAcentral is "partial large subunit ribosomal RNA". It matches the Rfam family "Eukaryotic large subunit ribosomal RNA", at positions 126 to 978 of the family's 3401-position model. The record is from RNAcentral. Lineage: Eukaryota; Viridiplantae; Streptophyta; Bryopsida; Hypnales; Pylaisiaceae.